GACGAACGCUGGCGGCGUGCUUAACACAUGCAAGUCGAACGAAGAGCGAUGGAAGCUUGCUUCUAUCAAUCUUAGUGGCGAACGGGUGAGUAACGCGUAAUCAACCUGCCCUUCAGAGGGGGACAACAGUUGGAAACGACUGCUAAUACCGCAUACGAUCUAAUCUCGGCAUCGAGGAUAGAUGAAAGGUGGCCUCUACAUGUAAGCUAUCACUGAAGGAGGGGAUUGCGUCUGAUUAGCUAGUUGGAGGGGUAACGGCCCACCAAGGCGAUGAUCAGUAGCCGGUCUGAGAGGAUGAACGGCCACAUUGGGGCUGAGACACGGCCCAGACUCCUACGGGAGGCAGCAGUGGGGAAUCUUCCGCAAUGGACGAAAGUCUGACGGAGCAACGCCGCGUGAGCGAUGACGGCCUUCGGGUUGUAAAGCUCUGUUAAUCGGGACGAAAGGCCUUCUUGCGAAUAGUGAGAAGGAUUGACGGUACCGGAAUAGAAAGCCACGGCUAACUACGUG
Molecule: ribosomal RNA, 510 nt
Filed under: uncultured bacterium
Lineage: Bacteria
Description: partial 16S ribosomal RNA
Rfam family: Bacterial small subunit ribosomal RNA
Source: RNAcentral